RNAcentral lists this ribosomal RNA (509 nucleotides) under Melyridae sp. 3 NLG-2013. RNAcentral's name for it is "partial 16S ribosomal RNA". The record is from RNAcentral. Lineage: Eukaryota; Metazoa; Arthropoda; Insecta; Coleoptera; Melyridae.
UGUCCUUUUGAUUAUAAUUUAAGGUCUAAUCUGCCCACUGAAAUUUUAAAUGGCCGCAGUAAUUUGACUGUGCUAAGGUAGCAKAAUCAUUAGKUUUUUAAUUAAAAGCUGGAAUGAAYGAUKGGAUGAAAUAAAAGCUGUCUCARUUUUMUUAAGUUAGAAAKUUAUUUUKAAGUUAAAAAGCUUAAAUUUUAUUAAAAGACGAGAAGACCCCAAAGAGUUUUAUAUAAAAAUAUAAAUYUUAAUUAUUAAUUAUAAAAUUKKAUUUUUAUUKUUAUAUUUUGYUGGGGUGACAAAAAAAUUUAAAGRACYUUUUYUUAAUUAAAACAUUUAUUUAUGAUUAAUUGAUCCAUUAUURGUGAUUAUAAGAUUAAAUUACCUUAGGGAUAACAGCGUAAUUUUUUUARAGAGUUCAAAUCGAARAAAAASAUUGCGACCKCGAUGUUGGAUUAAAGUUUAAUUUUGGUGUACCACCUAAAAAUUUAAGUCUGUUCUACUUUUAAAACUUU